This 494-nucleotide ribosomal RNA is filed under the name uncultured bacterium. Its description in RNAcentral is "bacterial SSU rRNA". It matches the Rfam family "Bacterial small subunit ribosomal RNA", at positions 8 to 526 of the family's 1533-position model. The record is from RNAcentral.
AGAGUUUGAUCCUGGCUCAGCCUGAACGCUGGCGGCGUGGCUAAGACAUGCAAGUCGCACGGGCCUAGCAAUAGGUCAGUGGCGCACGGGUGAGUAAUGUAUCGCUAACGUACCCUUAGGUUUGGGAUAGCCAUCCGAAAGGAUGGGUAAUACCAGAUGACAUACCCUGCAGGCAUCUGCGGGGUCUCAAAGCCGCAAGGCACCUUUGGAGCGGGCGAUAUCGUAUCAGGUAGUUGGUGCGGGUAACGGCCCACCAAGCCGACGACGCGUAGCUGGUCUGAGAGGACGGCCAGCCACAUCGGGACUGAGACACUGCCCGGACUCCUACGGGGGGCUGCAGUAACGAAUCUUCCGCAAUGCACGAAAGUGUGACGGAGCGACGCCGCGUGUGGGACGAAGUCCUUCGGGAUGUAAACCACUGUCAGGGGUUACCAAGUUCUGAGGAACCCCAGAGGAAGGCACGGCUAACUCUGUGCCAGCAGCCGCGGUAAUAC